Molecule: non-coding RNA, 72 nt
Organism: Potamilus streckersoni
Lineage: Eukaryota; Metazoa; Mollusca; Bivalvia; Unionida; Unionidae
Source: the annotation of a GenBank genome assembly
UCCGGUGGCCUAGUGGUUAGAUCGUCCGCCUAGUAUGCGGGAGGUCGUGUGUUCGAACCCCGGCCUAGUCAU